RNAcentral lists this ribosomal RNA (403 nucleotides) under uncultured bacterium. Its description in RNAcentral is "partial 16S ribosomal RNA". It matches the Rfam family "Bacterial small subunit ribosomal RNA", at positions 30 to 526 of the family's 1533-position model. The record is from RNAcentral.
AUUGAACGCUGGCGGCAGGCCUAACACAUGCAAGUCGAGCGAGCGGCGGACGGGUGAGUAAUGUAUGGGGACUGCCCGAUAGAGGGGGAUAACUACUGGAAACGGUUGCUACUACCGCAUACUAUCGGCUAACCCAUAUGGGUUUAGCUAGUUGGUGAGGUAAUGGCUCACCAAGGCGCCGAUCCCUAGCUGGUCUGAGAGGAUGAUCAGCGACGCUGGGACUGAGACACGGCCCAGACGCGUACGGAGGCAGCAGUGGGGAAUAUUGCACAAUGGGCGAAAGCCUGAUGCAGCGACGCCGCGUGGGGGAUGAAGGCUUUCGGGUUGUAAACCUAUGUCGCUAUCGAACGGGUAGGUGGAGAAGAAGCGCCGGCUAACUACGUGCCAGCAGCCGCGGUAAUAG